RNAcentral lists this ribosomal RNA (497 nucleotides) under uncultured bacterium. RNAcentral describes it as "partial 16S ribosomal RNA". It matches the Rfam family "Bacterial small subunit ribosomal RNA", at positions 28 to 507 of the family's 1533-position model. The record is from RNAcentral.
GAUGAACGCUGGCGGCGUGCCUAAUACAUGCAAGUCGAGCGAACAGACGAGGAGCUUGCUCCUCUGACGUUAGCGGCGGACGGGUGAGUAACACGUGGAUAACCUACCUAUAAGACUGGGAUAACUUCGGGAAACCGGAGCUAAUACCGGGUAAUAUAUUGAACCGCAUGGUUCAAUAGUGAAAGACGGUUUUGCUGUCACUUAUAGAUGGAUCCGCGCCGCAUUAGCUAGUUGGUAAGGUAACGGCUUACCAAGGCAACGAUGCGUAGCCGACCUGAGAGGGGGAGCGGCCACAAGGGAGGUUAAACACGGUACUGGCGCCUGCGGGAGGCAGCAGUAGGGAAUGUGCGGCAAUGGGCGAGAGUCUGACAAAGUGAGGCCAAGUGAGAGAAGAAGAUCUUCGGAUCGUAAGGCUGUGUUAUGGGGUGAGAACAAAUGGGGAAUGAACUAAGCACGUCUUGACGGUACUUAAUAAGAAAGCAACGGCUAACUACGUG